UAAUAAAAUACUAAUAUGUAG
Molecule: non-coding RNA, 21 nt
Filed under: Caenorhabditis elegans
Lineage: Eukaryota; Metazoa; Nematoda; Chromadorea; Rhabditida; Rhabditidae
Source: RNAcentral